UACAGAGGUCUCAAGCGUUGUUCGGAUUCAUUGGGCGUAAAGGGUGCGUAGGUGGCGCCGUAAGUCAGGUGUGAAAUCUCGGGGCUCAACCCCGAAACUGCACUUGAUACUGCGGUGCUGGAGUACUGGAGAGGAGAUUGGAAUUUACGGUGUAGCAGUGAAAUGCGUAGAUAUCGUAAGGAAGACCAGUGGCGAAGGCGAAUCUCUGGACAGUUACUGACACUGAGGCACGAAGGCCAGGGGAGCAAACGGG
This 253-nucleotide ribosomal RNA is filed under the name uncultured bacterium. RNAcentral describes it as "partial 16S ribosomal RNA". It matches the Rfam family "Bacterial small subunit ribosomal RNA", at positions 524 to 776 of the family's 1533-position model. The record is from RNAcentral.